UUCGUGGAAAAUAACAUUCACACAGAAUGACCUAUCUUUGUGGAUCUGUAAUUCGGGAGUCAUCCACUUGUCGUGGACGGUGAAAAGCCCAACAAAGGCCCUAUUCUUCUAUGUGAUGAUGAGGAGUCUGAGAGGAAUGUGAAAUCCAUGGGAAAAAUAUUCUUGAAGAUUUUGAUUAUCCCACGAAUGUUCAUAUCGGAGAAGAUGUUUAUUUUUGAAGGAAAAGAAGGAUUGGAAAGCCUUUUGGAGGUGACAAUAUGAAGAAGAUCAGUCCUGGAAUUUGUAGGUUCUGUCUAAGAAACACAUUUAGUAUUCAAGUUGGAAGAUGAGGAACCUUUACUUACGGAGAAAGAAGAAUGGGAAUAGAAUAUUGAUAAUCAUUUUGUCGAUAUGGACAUGUGAACCAUGGAAGUACAAGUUGGAUUUACAAUUUCACCUAUUUCGGUAAUAUAGAGUGAAAAAGCUAUUAGAUAUCGAAGAGGGGAUUGAUGAAAAUAUUUUAGAGAUUCGCCAUCACAAUAUUGAUGGCUUCAGAGAUUAUGAUAUAUACAAUGAUCCUCCUUUUUAUGGAGAAGGAUAUCUGUGGGAUUUAAACUACCCAAAUGUCAACGUGAUUUUGUUUCCUCGUCGUGGAGUAUUUGAGUUCGUAUGGAAAGUAUUAUUGGAGAUGUAACUCUUGAAAGAUUAAGAGAUCCCCUAUCUACUAGUGUGGGAGGAUGCAUAAUCUCACAUCCACCUUGCUUAAAAAAAAACCAACAUAGUAUUUCUUCAGUUAUUUCUGAAGAUGUUUCAAAAGUAUCAGCCUAUAAUUAGUUCUACAUUAAGUUUGCUACUUAAUUGUGCAGCCGUGUUCCAGAAAUGUUAGGCGGACAUUCCUUUCUGCAUAGAAGAAUGAUGCCCACCCCCCAUUUCAUAAACAUGGCUUCCUAGUUAAGAACAAAAUUGGAAAGUCUGUGAUUACAUGCCAACAAUGUGGGAAGGGCAUCAAAAAUGCUUUAAGAAACACUAUGGUGAUCGGGUUUUUCCCAUUCCAGGUGGGUUGGGAUAAUACAUCUUCCCUUACUCUCAGAUAUGAGCUCUCUAGACCUGUCAAGAGUUAUAUAUCUAGUAAUUUUGUUCCACAUGAACACAAGGCCUCCAUGUUAAUGAGAAUAUAUUCUCUUUGGAACUUUGGGAACUAAAUCCUACAUGACUCCUUCGCCAUAAAUAGGAAAAUCUCGUGUUGUAGAAGAAUCUGAAACUCUGAAGGCGUCAACAUCCAAGAGUAAUGGAGACUCUCAAAAAAAAUUCUUGAGUACCUCCAUCGAGUUCUCUAAGCAUGUAGAUGAUAUAUAAGUUCAAAAAUUUAAGAUGGAAAAAAAAUGGAGAGCAAAGUUCACAAAAUAUUGGAAAAGAAAAGUUCUUCAUAGGACAUAUGAACAAUAAAUAAACAGAUGUGUCAAUUUGUGACAUUCACUCUGCAGCAGUAAAAUUGGUGGAUUUGUAAAGCCAAUAUGUGAUUGCAAGACAUACAUGUCCAUUUCAACAAAAAAGAUCUUCAACUUUCUUUUUUCCCCAUUCUUCUUUCUCCAUGAGAAGAGGUUCCUUGUCUUCAAAUAAAAAUAUUAACUACUUUAUGUACUUGUAUUUUAAUCUUGAGUUAUAGUUCUUAGACAUCGAAACUCAAACAAAUACUUUACUAUCAACUCAUUCAGUUGUAUUUGUUAUCCCAAACUGAUUAUGUCUUCUUAAGUCUUUUGGCCCAAUAAGAAAAUAUCACCAAAAUUUGUUGUCGGCA
Molecule: long non-coding RNA, 1777 nt
Organism: Solanum lycopersicum (tomato)
Lineage: Eukaryota; Viridiplantae; Streptophyta; Magnoliopsida; Solanales; Solanaceae
Source: RefSeq, a predicted model, not a curated record